RNAcentral lists this ribosomal RNA (499 nucleotides) under uncultured bacterium. RNAcentral's name for it is "partial 16S ribosomal RNA". It matches the Rfam family "Bacterial small subunit ribosomal RNA", at positions 30 to 523 of the family's 1533-position model. The record is from RNAcentral.
AUUGAACGCUGGCGGCAUGCCUUACACAUGCAAGUCGAACGGCAGCACGGGAGCAAUCCUGGUGGCGAGUGGCGAACGGGUGAGUAAUAUAUCGGAACGUGCCCAGUCGUGGGGAUAACGCAGCGAAAGCUGUGCUAAUACCGCAUACGAUCUAUGGAUGAAAGCGGGGGAUCGCAAGGCCUCGCGCGAUUGGAGCGGCCGAUAUCAGAUUAGCUAGUUGGUGAGGUAAAGGCUCACCAAGGCGACGAUCUGUAGCUGGUCUGAGAGGACGACCAGCCACACUGGAACUGAGACACGGUCCAGACUCCUACGGGAGGCAGCAGUGGGGAAUUUUGGACAAUGGGCGAAAGCCUGAUCCAGCAAUGCCGCGUGCAGGAUGAAGGCCUUCGGGUUGUAAACUGCUUUUGUACGGAACGAAACGGUGAGCUCUAAUACAGUUUGCUAAUGACGGUACCGUAAGAAUAAGCACCGGCUAACUACGUGCCAGCAGCCGCAGUAA